RNAcentral lists this ribosomal RNA (253 nucleotides) under uncultured bacterium. RNAcentral describes it as "partial 16S ribosomal RNA". It matches the Rfam family "Bacterial small subunit ribosomal RNA", at positions 524 to 776 of the family's 1533-position model. The record is from RNAcentral.
UACGUAGGGGGCUAGCGUUGUCCGGAAUCAUUGGGCGUAAAGCGCGUGUAGGCGGUCCGGUAAGUCCGCUGUGAAAGUCGGGGGCUCAACCCUCGGAUGCCGGUGGAUACUGUCGGGCUUGAGUACGGAAGAGGCGAGUGGAAUUCCUGGUGUAGCGGUGAAAUGCGCAGAUAUCAGGAGGAACACCCAUUGCGAAGGCAGCUCGCUGGGACGUUACUGACGCUGAGACGCGAAAGCGUGGGGAGCAAACAGG